GACGGAGGAUGCAAGCGGUAUCAGGAAUUAUUGGGCGUAAAGCGUUCGCAGGUGGCUGUUCAAGUCUGCUGUCAAAGACCGGGGCUUAACCCCAGAAAGGCAGUGGAAACUGAACGGUUGGAGUGCAGUAUGGGUAGAGGGAAUUCCCAGUGUAGCGGUGAAAUGAGUAGAGAUUGGGAAGAACACCGGUGGCGAAAGCGCGCUGCUGGACUGCAACUGACACUGAGGGACGAAAGCUAGGGGAGCGAAAGGG
Molecule: ribosomal RNA, 253 nt
Filed under: uncultured bacterium
Lineage: Bacteria
Description: partial 16S ribosomal RNA
Rfam family: Bacterial small subunit ribosomal RNA
Source: RNAcentral